Corythoichthys intestinalis (scribbled pipefish) is the source of this 6029-nucleotide long non-coding RNA. RefSeq lists it as uncharacterized. The record is from RefSeq and is a predicted model, not a curated record. The transcript is spliced from 2 exons. Lineage: Eukaryota; Metazoa; Chordata; Actinopteri; Syngnathiformes; Syngnathidae.
AUGAGAGACAGAAUGUGGAAAAAAUAAACAGAAAAUCACAUUGUUUGAUUUUUAAAGAAUUUCUUUCCAAAUUAGAGUGGAAAAUAAGUAUUUGGUCACCUACAAACAAGCAAGAUUUCUGGCUGUCAAAGAGGUCUAACUUCUUCUAACGAGGUCUAACGAGGCUCCACUCGUUACCUGUAUUAACCCCUGGGUGUUAUUUGUCCAUUUUUUGGCUUUUUUCGUUUUUUUCUGUGUUUAAAAGGGAAAAAAGCAUAUGAAAAAAUACACUAGGGAGCUGAUAUUUCCUGCAGGAUACUAAAUCAUGUAGAAGUUCGAAAUGGCACCAUCCGGCAAUUUCUAACUUAUUGCAAACAGGCUGGGAAGAUUUGCACUAAACUCUUGUUAUUUUGCCAUUUUUUGGCUCAUUGACUCCCAUUAUAAAUCAUGAUUUUUAAUAUGCUGUAAACCUGAUGUUUUAUAAUGCAUUUUCCGUGAUUAUUGAUGCAAUCGCUUCUUUGGCGAGUCAAAAACAUGCAGAUAAAAAAUUUUUUGUGUUGACACCCAGAAGUCACUAGAUGAAGCCAUAGGCCAAUACAUGAAUUUGCUUGCAAAGCUAGCUUCAGAUCGGUCAAAAAUUAAUGCAAUAAAGACGGUCGGCUUUACAAAAAAAAUGGUGUCAAUGUUGUCUGAGCUCACUUUCAGUCUAUUUGGGCAUGCGUAUUUGCAAUUUUGCACGUUUGCACAAGACAAUAAAAAGGUACUUCCCGGAAAUGCAAAAAAACCAAAACAAAAAACCACGUGUUUAUUGUUGUCGUUUGAAUUUAAACUUUUAUUGGUUGGGUGUUUGAAUUUCUUUACUCUCAUUGGUUCUGGGCAUUUUGGGAGUCUCUGCUCUCGCGAGGAUCACCAUUUUGCAUUUCUUCCAACACAACUGUGAUCGAUGGCGGCGAGAAGUAUUUCACCGCAGGACACGAUUCGAAUGGUGUUAGAAAAUCCUGAUUCCGACGACGACGACCUUUGUUCGGACGCUUCUUUGGAGAGCCCAGAAGACAUUGAACAAAUUCUUCCGGACUUUCGAUGCCGGAGGAGGACGGCUUUGAUGACGAGGAUUAGGAAAUAGUUGACAACAUAACGAGAUGAAAGCGGGGAGCAGAAGGCGGGGGCACGGACAUGACCACGUUGAGGCGCAUGACGAAAAUGACGGCGAUCGAGGCCUGAGGCACAUACUCCUGCCGCCGGCGCGCACUCAGGUGGCCAAUGUGUGUUUUUUCCAAGAGAGUCUGGCUGCAGCCCGCCUCUCUCAGUACCCUGCGCCGCUCGUCUCAGUACCCAUCCCGCAGACAGGAAGUGACGCAAUAUCGCAGCUCUCAGACCGGAAAUGACAACAUGAAACAGCGCUCGAGCUCCGAGCUUCCGGUUUUAUCGUAAUAGUUAGCGUCCAUUCGAACGUAAAUACUAGUUUACUUUUCUUUUCGCACGUCUUUUAUUUUCGGUUUCAGCAUCACUCAUUAUUAUUUAAAUAAUAAUUUAUUUCCAUGCUCCUUAAAUUGAUUUGGUGAAAUCGGGAAAUUAACUCUUUAAGCGCGGUCAGUUUGUUAAAGCCUGGUGAUUUUACCAAAAUGAAAAACAUGGUUACAGUACAUCAAAAUUAAAAUACACACUACUGUAAUAAAGGUUUAAUUGGUGACUGAAAGAUCGCAUGUGACCUAUCACAGUGUGUACUUUAGUUUGUCAAUUGUAAAAUAUACACCAAUUGAGAAUUAUUAGAAAUUGCUGUCAUCCUUACAUUUUUAUGAACGGACACAUUAAUAUAGCUUCAUUACAAUUUAAUGUAUCAAAAACGUAAUAUUCUCUCCAUGUUGCAACCAAACCAAUUUUGUCUUUCAUUUUGCUACUUAAAUUCAUUCAUGUGAGUGAAGAUCCUAAUUAACUAAUUCAGAAACUAUAUUAAACUUUCUGCUCCAGGAAAGGCACCUUUAUUUCAAACAGAAAUGACAAAAUAGUUGCCAUGUGUUAGUUGUUUUUUUCUUUUAUCCCAGACAAUAGUUGUAGGUUGUUUUAAUUACCUGACAUUUUUCGGCAAGCACUCCCGCCUUCAUCACAGGUAAUUAAAACUACCUACAACUAACAUCUGUGAUAAAAGAAAAAAAACAACUAAUUUAUAAGUGUAGAAAAAUGAACUCAAUACAACCAGUUCUAAUGUGGUAAACUUUAUUUUUUUAGUUUUAUUAUUUUUUUAUUAUUAUUGAGAGAAUACCAGAUAUUUUCUUUGGUCAACAAUCUCCUCAAAAAAGGUAAAUCCAUCUUCCAGAUGGUUGAAACAGAACUUGAAUGGCUCCAAGACAUUGUAGUUCGUGCUCAUCCUCUUCCAUCUGCAGGAUGCUUGGGAACUCCUACUGCAUUACUGCAUUAAUCCCCCCCCACAGCCCUGUCCGAGGCUUUUGUGCAGUCUUGCACAGUCCUUUUACCAAAACUGUUCAUUGGAAAAGAGAAAGAAAAGAGCUAUUUGAAUAUUACAUAAGUAAAAUAAAAAUGAUGCUUUGUUAAUUUUAUACUUGAUUUUUCUUUUCAGGCAUUGCAUUAAACUAGGUAUAUAAACAAUCUUACCAUUUUUUUCCCGUCAUAUCUUUUUGGAGUGGGCCACCACUAACUUGAAGGAGCUGUGGUUGCACCUCUUCCUAAAAAUAAAUCAGUGAAUAAAGGGGGACAUGUUCAAAAGUGCAUCAGAGUAAUGGACACUAAAAAGUCUUUAAAAGCUGACCUCAGCAAUCAUAUUCAAAUUUCACUUCUGUAGCUGAUAGACUGGUGGCACUUCACCCUGCAGUAAUGCUUUUGCCUUAUCUGUCCAAUGGGCAAACUCUUUCCUGUGGCUCACCUAAGUUGAAAAAAUACAAAAAUAAGUAUUCCACAUUUUCCAACAAAGAAUUAAGGUAUUGUGCACCUACUUUCCUAUGAAUGCCAUAUCAACAGUUUCAAAGACUUAUACCAUGCACCCAAGUUUGAAAUUGUCCGCUAGCAAUAUACACCACCACUUCCUCAGAGUUGGCAUAUCAGUCUAACAAAAAUUAAAAACAAGUGUAAAUAAAGAAUAACGACGAGGAUAUUUUGUAGCCCAAUUUGAAUGAUUCGGUGAACUUCAUUUUACAAUGGUUAAACUCAAAGAGAGCAUCCAGAACAGUGCAAAGAGCAUACUACAAAUGGAUAAAUGAAUACAAAUAUAACAGAGGACAAAAUUGGACAGUUAAACUCACCUACCAUCAACAUGAAGAUGCCACAGUCCUUCCCCUAUGGCUGUCCCGAAAAACCCUAACGUAAGAAUUUAACCGAGUCACUUCCUUCAAGUUUUGAAUCAAUGAAUAUACACACUUUUACAAAUACCUCUAUUUCACUUCCAAUCCUCUCUUUCCAUGUCCCCCUGUUGAUUGACUGUCAACGUUUUCUGCAAUUGAAAAUAUAGGUUUAUAUUAAAUACAGUAGUUAAACAAUUACAAACGUGUUUCCAUGCAUAAGAACACCAACCAGUCAGGUUUAAAUGAUUCAUGCAAACAAAACAAGGGCGUAGGUUUGCAUAGGGACGGUAGGGACAUAACACGACCAACUUUUCAGGAUGCUAAAGUUGUCCCCACCAACUUUUGAGCAACCUUAUUUGCAUUAUAUUCGUCCCUACCAAUGUUGAGACCGGGCCAACGCCCUUGAAACAAAACAUUCGCAAUUUUAGAGUGGCAUUUUAGAAUUUUGCUUCAAAUGAUUGGAUGAAUCAUCUGGAGUGCAAUUCUGCUUUAAUUGAAGGGGCAACAUAAAAGGAUCGACUGGAACAUACCUUCAAAACCAAACAAGGCUAUUCUGGAUCAUCAUGGAAACGCCAUGCCAAUAUGAAUGGUUACUGAAUUUCAUUAGAGAUAACAAUAGUUCUCUGAUCUCAAGAUUGGAUCUGUUUUUCUUCCCACAAAUAAUUGGAAUUUGGAUCAUUUAAUUUGUUAUGAUUUGACUGUUCUUUGAAAAUGAACCAAUGCUCCAAGUUGUAGUUGUUACUAAUCAGCCUUACAGGCAAAUGCAUGUGUGGGUCACAUCCUGUAGGCUUUCACUAUGUUGCAACAACAUAGGGGUCAGCCACAAAUAUGGUCCUUCCCUGAAAAAUACAUAAUCUAUACACACGGACAUAUGUUAUAUAAAUAAAAACGUACGCAGACACCUACAUGAGCCCAUACAAGCAUUCUGUAGGCUACAUAGUUAAAAUAAUACCCUACACACGCCAAAAAACACUUUUUUAUACCUUUGAAUGAGCUACUUGUUAGACAAGUUAUAAAUAUGCAUUUCAUAUCUGCAAAAAAACAAACACAAAAAGUUACAUUUUACUUAAUUGUACAAGUGACAUUAUGUUCUUUAGAGAAACUAAAUCCUCAAAAUUCACAGUUGAUUCCAUUUCAUUGUUCAGGCCAACGUUCCAAAAGUCAGCACGUGUCAAUCAAACUUUCUUUUUUUAGACAAUCAACACCAUUUCUGGCCUCUUUAUAUUCAAGAUUUGCAUAAGCUAAUGAGAAUGUUGAUUGGUUAAAUAAACAAAGAGUAAAUAAUCAAUUAUGUCCAAUUGUUAACUAAUAUAAGGAAUAAUAAGCCUAUCCAGAUUUCCACUGAGCACAACAUUUGUCUCAGACAUAAAAACAUACCAGCCGUUCCUGGGCAGGAUGAGUUUGAACCGUCCAUGAAACUCGGCAUGGUCUUAUAUUGUCACCAUUGGUCCUGUCUGCACAGUGGGUUUUACAGUGUUUGAUGUCUAUCGAAAAAAGUGUUCAGCACAGUCCAAAAUCUAAAGUACAUUACUAUUUAUGCUACUUACUUCCAUUUGGAUCUGUGUGACAUCCCUGUAUCUGCAUGGGAAGACUACCAUUUGGGGGUCGUGAUUUAGUUUCUUCCCAAUGGGGUGGUGAUCUUGCAGCUAGUAAAAAAAAACAAAAUAAUGAAAAAAUAUAUAGCUAAGCAGAGUAACAAUAUCAAGAAAAAAUUACAACCUUGUCCUAUUUGGAUCAUGUGACAACAUUCAAACUACAAAGGACCAGACAAAACAAAUGAAGGCAAAACAACAACACCAUACAACAACAACAACAGCGAGCUGCGAAUUGCAGGCAUGUACAUAAUGAAAAAUAAGAGUGCAAUAUAAUGAAAACUACACAAAGAAGACUGUUCAUUGUGGAAAAAAAAAUGUAAAAAGCAUUAGCAGCAUUAGCUAAUUCGCUGCUGAAUUCAUCAGUACGUAUUAAACAAUAUAAGUAGAGCAAAGUCGCAUGCAGUUAGUAAAGGAAGACAUUAUUUAAAUUGCAUUAAGAAUACUAGAUAUAAGUACGGUCUUUUCAACUCAGAAUAAACACUUCAUAUUUCACCGCAAGUGUUGUUUAACUAUUUAACAUUUUUAAACAUGCGUACGCUUUUAAAAACUUUUUUUCAGUGCGGCCACUUACCGUGUUUUUUUCGCGAGAGGUGAAAUAACGUAACUUGUUUUCGUCGCAAGGGUUGACGACAUUUCCGGUCUGAGGGGACUGAGAGCUGCGGUGUUGCGUCAUUUCCUGUCUGCGGGAUUGGUACUGAGAAGAGCGGCGCAGGGUACUGAGAGAGGCGGGCUGCAGCCAGACUCCUCUCGUUUUUUCACAUGCCGGACAUUUCGUCAUGCAGCGCGUUUGUGCUGUUCACGGAGAUCUACCCUGAGUGGAACGUGAAGAAAAGCUACAAGCGCCGACUAUUUCUUGAGGAGCUUGGCAAGGCUCUAAUUCGGCCAGAAGUCCUAAAACGGGAACCACCGCCUUCUGCCGAAGGCUUGGUUGAGCAGCGAGCUGGACCCCCGUCCAAGCGCAAACAAUGUGGCCUUUGCACAAAGCCACUUCGGGCUUCGAACAUAAUAAUAAAUAAUAAUACAUUUUAUUUAUAACGCACUUUACAUUUGAACAACAAAUCUCAAAGUGCACAUCAUGAAUUGUGUAUGUUGUUAUUAUGUUAACUGUUAUAUUGUAUGUAUGUUUUGUAAAAUUGUUAACAUAAAUUCUAUCAUCAAAUCA